RNAcentral lists this ribosomal RNA (2385 nucleotides) under Escherichia coli. Its description in RNAcentral is "partial 23S ribosomal RNA". It matches the Rfam family "Bacterial large subunit ribosomal RNA", at positions 429 to 2797 of the family's 2925-position model. Lineage: Bacteria; Pseudomonadati; Pseudomonadota; Gammaproteobacteria; Enterobacterales; Enterobacteriaceae. The record is from RNAcentral.
GUAUCCUGUCUGAAUAUGGGGGGACCAUCCUCCAAGGCUAAAUACUCCUGACUGACCGAUAGUGAACCAGUACCGUGAGGGAAAGGCGAAAAGAACCCCGGCGAGGGGAGUGAAAAAGAACCUGAAACCGUGUACGUACAAGCAGUGGGAGCACGCUUAGGCGUGUGACUGCGUACCUUUUGUAUAAUGGGUCAGCGACUUAUAUUCUGUAGCAAGGUUAACCGAAUAGGGGAGCCGAAGGGAAACCGAGUCUUAACUGGGCGUUAAGUUGCAGGGUAUAGACCCGAAACCCGGUGAUCUAGCCAUGGGCAGGUUGAAGGUUGGGUAACACUAACUGGAGGACCGAACCGACUAAUGUUGAAAAAUUAGCGGAUGACUUGUGGCUGGGGGUGAAAGGCCAAUCAAACCGGGAGAUAGCUGGUUCUCCCCGAAAGCUAUUUAGGUAGCGCCUCGUGAAUUCAUCUCCGGGGGUAGAGCACUGUUUCGGCAAGGGGGUCAUCCCGACUUACCAACCCGAUGCAAACUGCGAAUACCGGAGAAUGUUAUCACGGGAGACACACGGCGGGUGCUAACGUCCGUCGUGAAGAGGGAAACAACCCAGACCGCCAGCUAAGGUCCCAAAGUCAUGGUUAAGUGGGAAACGAUGUGGGAAGGCCCAGACAGCCAGGAUGUUGGCUUAGAAGCAGCCAUCAUUUAAAGAAAGCGUAAUAGCUCACUGGUCGAGUCGGCCUGCGCGGAAGAUGUAACGGGGCUAAACCAUGCACCGAAGCUGCGGCAGCGACGCUUAUGCGUUGUUGGGUAGGGGAGCGUUCUGUAAGCCUGCGAAGGUGUGCUGUGAGGCAUGCUGGAGGUAUCAGAAGUGCGAAUGCUGACAUAAGUAACGAUAAAGCGGGUGAAAAGCCCGCUCGCCGGAAGACCAAGGGUUCCUGUCCAACGUUAAUCGGGGCAGGGUGAGUCGACCCCUAAGGCGAGGCCGAAAGGCGUAGUCGAUGGGAAACAGGUUAAUAUUCCUGUACUUGGUGUUACUGCGAAGGGGGGACGGAGAAGGCUAUGUUGGCCGGGCGACGGUUGUCCCGGUUUAAGCGUGUAGGCUGGUUUUCCAGGCAAAUCCGGAAAAUCAAGGCUGAGGCGUGAUGACGAGGCACUACGGUGCUGAAGCAACAAAUGCCCUGCUUCCAGGAAAAGCCUCUAAGCAUCAGGUAACAUCAAAUCGUACCCCAAACCGACACAGGUGGUCAGGUAGAGAAUACCAAGGCGCUUGAGAGAACUCGGGUGAAGGAACUAGGCAAAAUGGUGCCGUAACUUCGGGAGAAGGCACGCUGAUAUGUAGGUGAAGUCCCUCGCGGAUGGAGCUGAAAUCAGUCGAAGAUACCAGCUGGCUGCAACUGUUUAUUAAAAACACAGCACUGUGCAAACACGAAAGUGGACGUAUACGGUGUGACGCCUGCCCGGUGCCGGAAGGUUAAUUGAUGGGGUUAGCCGCAAGGCGAAGCUCUUGAUCGAAGCCCCGGUAAACGGCGGCCGUAACUAUAACGGUCCUAAGGUAGCGAAAUUCCUUGUCGGGUAAGUUCCGACCUGCACGAAUGGCGUAAUGAUGGCCAGGCUGUCUCCACCCGAGACUCAGUGAAAUUGAACUCGCUGUGAAGAUGCAGUGUACCCGCGGCAAGACGGAAAGACCCCGUGAACCUUUACUAUAGCUUGACACUGAACAUUGAGCCUUGAUGUGUAGGAUAGGUGGGAGGCUUGGAAGUGUGGACGCCAGUCUGCAUGGAGCCGACCUUGAAAUACCACCCUUUAAUGUUUGAUGUUCUAACGUUGACCCGUAAUCCGGGUUGCGGACAGUGUCUGGUGGGUAGUUUGACUGGGGCGGUCUCCUCCUAAAGAGUAACGGAGGAGCACGAAGGUUGGCUAAUCCUGGUCGGACAUCAGGAGGUUAGUGCAAUGGCAUAAGCCAGCUUGACUGCGAGCGUGACGGCGCGAGCAGGUGCGAAAGCAGGUCAUAGUGAUCCGGUGGUUCUGAAUGGAAGGGCCAUCGCUCAACGGAUAAAAGGUACUCCGGGGAUAACAGGCUGAUACCGCCCAAGAGUUCAUAUCGACGGCGGUGUUUGGCACCUCGAUGUCGGCUCAUCACAUCCUGGGGCUGAAGUAGGUCCCAAGGGUAUGGCUGUUCGCCAUUUAAAGUGGUACGCGAGCUGGGUUUAGAACGUCGUGAGACAGUUCGGUCCCUAUCUGCCGUGGGCGCUGGAGAACUGAGGGGGGCUGCUCCUAGUACGAGAGGACCGGAGUGGACGCAUCACUGGUGUUCGGGUUGUCAUGCCAAUGGCACUGCCCGGUAGCUAAAUGCGGAAGAGAUAAGUGCUGAAAGCAUCUAAGCACGAAACUUGC